GGCGGCGUGGCCAAGUGGUAAGGCAAGGGUCUGCAAAACCCUCAUACACCGGUUCGAAUCCGGUCGCCGCCU
RNAcentral lists this transfer RNA (72 nucleotides) under Candidatus Dadabacteria bacterium. RNAcentral describes it as "tRNA-Cys". It matches the Rfam family "tRNA". Rfam says of the family: Transfer RNA (tRNA) molecules are approximately 80 nucleotides in length. Their secondary structure includes four short double-helical elements and three loops (D, anti-codon, and T loops). Further hydrogen bonds mediate the characteristic L-shaped molecular structure. tRNAs have two regions of fundamental functional importance: the anti-codon, which is responsible for specific mRNA codon recognition, and the 3' end, to which the tRNAs corresponding amino acid is attached (by aminoacyl-tRNA synthetases). tRNAs cope with the degeneracy of the genetic code in two manners: having more than one tRNA (with a specific anti-codon) for a particular amino acid; and 'wobble' base-pairing, i.e. permitting non-standard base-pairing at the 3rd anti-codon position. The record is from RNAcentral. Lineage: Bacteria; Pseudomonadati; Thermodesulfobacteriota; Candidatus Dadabacteria. RNAcentral also lists the same sequence under 1 other name.